UUGUCCUGCUGCUGAAUAAUUAUCAGCUUCAUGUUACUGGUCAGAGUUCAGGGCUUGAACUCAUGUUUGUUCACUCACAAUUAAGCAGAAUUAAUUUGGUUUCAUGAUGCUGAACGCAGGUCAUUCUGUUCAUGUUGAACCUCAUAGUUCUUCACAAACACCAUGUUCUGCUCUUUACUGCGCUGUGGUUUAAAUACAGCAUUGGUUCUGUGCUGUUUCUAUGCUGGAAGGCUGUAGUUACGAUAUAAUAUUAGUACUCAUAAUAUUAGUACUGUUAUAAUAUCCAUUCUGUUAUAAUAUCAGUUCUGUGUGAUGCAUUUAGGGACCAUGUUUUACUACUGAGAGGACACACUGACAGGCUGUUCUCUGUUUUUACAGUAAAAUAUUCACUUUUCCUCAACAGCAAGUUGAAUUACUUGAUGUUCAGCACAUUUCUGUAAUAAUUAGAUUUCUAAAGUAUUAUUUCUAUUAGUUUUACAAGAUAGAUCAGAAGAUAUUGUUUUAGAAUUUAAAUUAUAUCCCACUAAUCUAGCAGUUCGACCCUCUGCUACAACAAUCUGACUCCUCCUUUAAAUCUGUGCUGUGCAUCUCAUACUACAAAUCUGGCCUGUUUUAAAGGGUUUUUAAAUGCUACGACUGAGGAAAAUGAUUUUCCACAGCAGGAAAGUUGAGCAGCUUUUGUUGUGUUUCUGAUUCCCCAUCUUUUCUUUCAUAGACUUGUCCUGGUCCUGUUACUGACUGCAGCUACGUCUCGGUGUUCCUUCACCUACGCUGGUUAACUUCAACUGUGCAGGAAACUUAGAACCAGAGUAGCUACAGCACAAAGCAGUUUAUACACGACCUCGUAGACGUUUUCAAGCCUUUAGAGAUGUUUUACAGCUGCAGUUAUGUGAGGAGAAGCAGAGUUAGUGUCUAACCUUCUGUGAAGGCUCAGUGUGGAUGUUUUAUAUGCAGGUCUGGAGCUCCAUGUCUGCUGGUUGUUGUGUGUUGAAAUGGGAUGUCCAGCGUUUGUUCUCUGAGCUGCUGCAGAGGAAACAUGGAGCAGAAUGUGUGAGCGACGUGUAAACACUAAAGAAGUUGAACGUGAUCACAGAUAACUCAAAAACAACUCAUGAACAGACAAAUGUUUUGAUUCAGACAGAAUGUGUGGAUUAAUAUUUAAACCAGAGUCUGACUGACAGAAGAGUUUCUCCUUCUUACAUCCACUAAUAUUAACUUUUACGUGUCAUGUAGACGGAUACAGGAGAGUCGACAUGACAGCAGUUUGUCUCUGAUAAAGAUUGUUAUAGAUUUAGUUUAACCCUUUAAUGCUGAUCGUCCACUUGUAUUCAGACUGCAGCUGAGAUAUCGUAUCCAUUCCCCCAAUACCAGUUUAUACAUAUUCAAUACGUACCUAGGAACCUUUAGCAAGCACCAGUUUCUCAUAGGACCGGCUGGAGUGGGACCUAAUUAUUAUAUAUCUGUUCUAUGUGCUAUAGACAAAUUAACAAUCUCCACUUAAUUCAGCAUCAGCUUGAAAGCAAAAACACAAAUAAUACAUUUUUUUUUAGAUAAUUGUGAAUAAAUUCAGGCAUCAAGAGGUUAAACUUUGGUACAACGAGCACAGAGAAACUUGGAGCAUCAAACACUUGAUUUCCUGGAUUCUGGUGAAUUUUCUGCAUCACAUUAUGGAGGAAACGUCUUUAUUUGUUUAAAGGAACACAACAUGUACGGGUUAAAUCUAAUUAUAAUGGAAUGUGAUGCAGGAAAGCUUCUGCGUUACUAAAUAUUUAUUUUCCUGCAGAUGAACUUUUAAUGUUAACCCUGCUGAUGGAACACAUGGAGACCAGAUUUACUCCUCUGACCUCUCUGAAUGUAGCAACGUUUCAUAGGAGUUGAUCUUUCAAAAUCUGAACUUUGUGCACAUUCAGAGCAGAUCACACAAAUCUGUGUUUGACACGCUGCAGAAUUAAGACUGUCAGGAGUAAUGGUGCAUCUAUGAGCUAAUAUACAGCAGCAUUUUUUAAAAAUUAAAGUCUUUUGGUUUUUGUUUCCAACCUGAAAUCUCUGCUUGUGUAUUAAGAUGUGACUGCAACAGAGAUGUAGAUUAAAAUCCCUGAAAUAAUCACUAAAACCUCAAAAACUUGCUACUGAAAAGUGCAAAUACAGAAACUACAAAAAGAGGCCAUCAUAGUUUGAUCCUAUAUCACCUCCAUAUCCUUUUUCUUAAAGUUCUGCCCUCUUAAAACAAACAAAACUGACUCCAAGCCAAAGAUGGUUCACAUUUUCAGUUAUUUGAGGCCCUCAGGUCUUGGAGUUGUUGAUGCCUUUUAAUAAGAAUCCACAUGAUGAGUGUGUAGUUGUAGUUUUUGCUCUGCAGCUUCACAUCUCAGUGACAGAAGAGCUCCUUUAUGAGACAAAUAAAAAAGGUGGAAGGAUGAAAGUUGCUGCUGAAAACUAGACUCGAGUAUUUUUGUUAUUUUUGUACAUGACACGACUACGUUAAACAGAUUCUUCCAUGUCGUCCGACUGACCAGCUGAUUGUUGAACAGUGAUCACACAAAACCACAUUCGUAAAUCCUGAGUGGUACCAAUAAUGUCAUAAACAUCAGUGUUCACCUGCCAUGUAUCAGAGUAACGGAUUAAUAAAUCAUUUGGUGACA
This is a long non-coding RNA of Amphiprion ocellaris (clown anemonefish), 2642 nucleotides long. The record is from Ensembl. Lineage: Eukaryota; Metazoa; Chordata; Actinopteri; Pomacentridae.